Mytilus trossulus (common blue mussel) is the source of this 2369-nucleotide long non-coding RNA. RefSeq lists it as uncharacterized. The transcript is spliced from 4 exons. The record is from RefSeq and is a predicted model, not a curated record. NCBI's taxonomy places the organism in Eukaryota, Metazoa, Mollusca, Bivalvia, Mytilida, Mytilidae.
GACAUUUGUAUAAAUAUUCCUACACUGUACUUUUUUUCUGACAUUUGUAUAAAAUUAAAAAAAAAAUGCAUGUCUGGUACUUUUUAAAUGAAUUUCAUAAAUAAUUUGUAUUUUAAAUUGAGAAUUUCUCCAGUUUCCACCAUUGUAAAAAUAAUGUGAGAUGCCUUGGAACAUUCUGGUGACUAAUAAUGAUGUACAAUGGAAAUGACAUUUCAUUACUUAGAUAAAAUGGAUUCAGUGGACUGAUUAGCAUAAAUAACUAUGAUGGAAAACUUUUGAAGGCAGGCAGGAUAGCAGCUCUUGAAGGAAGAUGGUCAAAUAAAUCUUCAACCAAGUCUCAGGCUUUACCAAGAAAUUAAGAAGGUUCUUCUGCGAUAUGUGUUCAUUGUGUGGGAAUAAGACUUGGUGGUCUAAUACAACUAAUACGAAGGUUAGCAUCACAGCUUGUCUGUAAGGAUUGAAGCUGGGAGUGGGCAUUAGAGCUGACUUUUAUGGUAACUGUGACUGCUUAAAAGGGCUAUGUGAUUUUACUGUAACAGCAUAGAAUGUAAUUCAGACUAUUUUUUAUAUGUUUGAGAAAAUGUAUAUAAUUUUUACCAUAUAAAGAAAAAAAAUAUGUACAGGUUCUCCAUUUUCAAAAAGAUUGGAAGUUGUUGGUUGAUAAAUCUUUGAAAUUUAAAAAAAUACUAUUUUUUGUUCAUACUUAUAUCUGGAGAAAACACUUCAAGUAGUUUAAGAAUGGAGAAUCUAAAAAAAAAAAGAAAAAAUGUUCAAUUAUUGAAAGGUUUUUGUUCAGCCUUCGACUUUAGUCGAAAAAGAGAGACAUAGGAAACCUACAUUCUGUUAUUGGCUUGGUAUGCCGGCGUCCACAAAGGAAGGGUCCUGAUCCCGAAACCCAUGAUGCUUAAAAACAUGGUCCUGAGGUCCCAAAAUUGGAAAAAAAUAAUUCUUGGAUGCUGAAAGGGUCAAUCCCGAAAUCCUUAGCUUAAAAACAGCCGAUCCUGUAGUCCUGAUAAAGAUUCUAUCCCAACUCAAAUAUAUUUAGUAAUUUACUUGCAUAAGCUUGACUUAAGCUUUUUCCUCAUUUUUGUUGAGUCUGCAUUUAACAGCAAAAGUAGGAGAGACACUGGGUUCCGUGGAACCCUUACAAAUUUAUCAAGAUUCAAAAUAUUUAAACAUUUUUUUUCUGGUGUAAUUUGAAAAGUCCCUCCUUCCCCUGGACAACCAAUUAUUUAUUGCUUAAAUUAUUUGGAGGAAUUUACUUUAAAAGGUUAAAAAAAAAUUGAUAGUAGUUAAUACUGUAUGCAGAGUGUGUGAUAUAUUUUUCUGGUUCGUCAAGGUCUAUAAAUGCAUUUUUUUCAAUUUUUAGAUCCCACAAACAUAAGCUAAAGGAACCUGCAAAAUAAGAUUUUUCUUUGUUUAAUUUGUAAUAAUAUGUUAAAGAGGAAAAUGUGCCCUUCUUUGUCUUCCAUCCAAAACUCCAAUUACAUAUAGUAAUCUGUAAAGUGGAUCCAGGGAUCAUGUAUGCAGGGUAGGGUUUCGAUAAAACACAGAGUUAAAUGUUUUAUAAGAACAAGACUUUAGGGAUUGCUACAGUGAUUUAAUAAGACAUAUUUUGGUUUGUAUGGCACCUUCAUCAGGAUUGAAAAUACAGGAGAGUACAGAAUUCUGUAGUGAUAAUUUAUAUUUCACAAUGUCACCACCAGAACAAAUUAUAAAUAGGGUGUGAAGGUAGUUGUGAAAAUUAACUAAUCAAGAAUGUUAAAUAAAAUAUGUUUUUGUAAAUUUGGACGACAUUUGACUUGCAAUUAUGUACUAUUUACUACACUGGAUGUAGUACAGACUUGCUUAACGUACCAUUUCAACACUGAAAGAAGUACGUUUGUCUGAGCGAAGCCAAUUGGAAGCAUGUACCUCUUAGUGAAGCUAAUUGGGAGUACAUACCCUCUGUCUUGUUGCGAAGCUGAUUGGAAGCAGUACAUAUACACCUCUGUCUGCUUAACCUAAUUAGAAGCAGUACCCUUGGCAGAGUGGUCCCAAUUAGAGGCAGUAACUCUGAGCGAAGCCAAUUGGAAGCAUGUACCUCUGCAAAAUUUGAUCAAAUACUAUUCAACAAAUUUUAUUUAACAUUCUUUUAAAGUUUACUUUCAUAUCUUCUUUUAUUUUUUUAUUUAUUAUUAUUCCCCCUGUUGACAUUAAUUAUUAAGUGCAAAUUAUCACUUCACCAUUUUGUACUCUUUUGUCACUAAGUUUUUAUUCUGAUGAAAGUGCUGUAGAAAUUAAAACAUGCCAAUAUAGUUUAAUUACUCCAACAAUCCCUGAAGUAUUAUUAUAAGAAUUAUCAUAGAUGAAUCUUUUAUAGACCAUUG